RNAcentral lists this ribosomal RNA (470 nucleotides) under Staphylococcus aureus. Its description in RNAcentral is "partial 23S ribosomal RNA". It matches the Rfam family "Bacterial large subunit ribosomal RNA", at positions 1333 to 1798 of the family's 2925-position model. Lineage: Bacteria; Bacillati; Bacillota; Bacilli; Caryophanales; Staphylococcaceae. The record is from RNAcentral.
UCCACCGAUUGACUAAGGUUUCCAGAGGAAGGCUCGUCCGCUCUGGGUUAGUCGGGUCCUAAGCUGAGGCCGACAGGCGUAGGCGAUGGAUAACAGGUUGAUAUUCCUGUACCACCUAUAAUCGUUUUAAUCGAUGGGGGGACGCAGUAGGAUAGGCGAAGCGUGCGAUUGGAUUGCACGUCUAAGCAGUAAGGCUGAGUAUUAGGCAAAUCCGGUACUCGUUAAGGCUGAGCUGUGAUGGGGAGAAGACAUUGUGUCUUCGAGUCGUUGAUUUCACACUGCCGAGAAAAGCCUCUAGAUAGAAAAUAGGUGCCCGUACCGCAAACCGACACAGGUAGUCAAGAUGAGAAUUCUAAGGUGAGCGAGCGAACUCUCGUUAAGGAACUCGGCAAAAUGACCCCGUAACUUCGGGAGAAGGGGUGCUCUUUAGGGUUAACGCCCAGAAGAGCCGCAGUGAAUAGGCCCAAGCG